UGGGGAAUAUUGCACAAUGGGCGCAAGCCUGAUGCAGCCAUGCCGCGUGUAUGAAGAAGGCCUUCGGGUUGUAAAGUACUUUCAGCGGGGAGGAAGGGAGUAAAGUUAAUACCUUUGCUCAUUGACGUUACCCGCAGAAGAAGCACCGGCUAACUCCGUGCCAGCAGCCGCGGUAAUACGGAGGGUGCAAGCGUUAAUCGGAAUUACUGGGCGUAAAGCGCGCGCAGGCGGUUUGUUAAGUCAGAUGUGAAAUCCCCGGGCUCAACCUGGGAACUGCAUCUGAUACUGGCAAGCUUGAGUCUCGUAGAGGGGGGUAGAAUACCAGGUGUAGCGGUGAAAUGCGUAGAGAUCUGGAGGAAUACCGGUGGCGAAGGCGGCCCCCUGGACGAAGACUGACGCUCAGGUGCGAAAGCGUGGGGAGCAAACAGG
This 429-nucleotide ribosomal RNA is filed under the name Chloroflexota bacterium. RNAcentral's name for it is "Chloroflexi bacterium partial 16S ribosomal RNA". It matches the Rfam family "Bacterial small subunit ribosomal RNA", at positions 355 to 776 of the family's 1533-position model. Lineage: Bacteria; Bacillati; Chloroflexota. The record is from RNAcentral.